Molecule: ribosomal RNA, 482 nt
Filed under: uncultured bacterium
Lineage: Bacteria
Description: bacterial SSU rRNA
Rfam family: Bacterial small subunit ribosomal RNA
Source: RNAcentral
AUUGAACGCUGGCGGCAGGCCUAACACAUGCAAGUCGAACGGCAACAUUUCUAGCUUGCUAGAAGAUGACGAGUGGCGGACGGGUGAGUAAUGCUUGGGAACUUGCCUUUGCGAGGGGGAUAACAGUUGGAAACGACUGCUAAUACCGCAUAAUGUCUUCGGACCAAACGGGGCUUAGGCUCCGGCGCAAAGAGAGGCCCAAGUGAGAUUAGCUAGUUGGUAAGGUAAAGGCUUACCAAGGCAACGAUCUCUAGCUGUUCUGAGAGGAAGAUCAGCCACACUGGGACUGAGACACGGCCCAGACUCCUACGGGAGGCAGCAGUGGGGAAUAUUGCACAAUGGGGGAAACCCUGAUGCAGCCAUGCCGCGUGUGUGAAGAAGGCCUUCGGGUUGUAAAGCACUUUCAGUUGUGAGGAAAAGUUAGUAGUUAAUACCUGCUAGCCGUGACGUUAACAACAGAAGAAGCACCGGCUAACUCCGUG